This is a non-coding RNA of Maylandia zebra (zebra mbuna), 939 nucleotides long. The record is from RefSeq and is a predicted model, not a curated record. Lineage: Eukaryota; Metazoa; Chordata; Actinopteri; Cichliformes; Cichlidae.
GGGGCUCAUCUAUUACCAGUGGAAACCAGUUUAUGACUUUGUUUGUCCUAAGCCAUGUUGCCUUUCAAAUAUUGACAAGCCUUUAGUGCGACAGGACAGAAAGACGAGGAGUAAGACAUGCUGCUCACGGCUGCAGGCUCGAUUCAAACACAGGCCUAAAGGCCGUAAACUUUAGUGUGUUCCCAGGAUGAGCGGGGGAGUUUCUAAAUACGAUCGAGGACACGCUAACCUCCUUUCCUUUCUUGUUUCUGAUUGGACAGCCAAAUUGGACUUUUCUGCUCCUGCACACACUAUUAAACUAUCAUUGAUUCCCAUUAUUGUGUCAUGACCAGCUUCUUGAGAUGUCUUCAUGGACAGUUUGCAGAUCAUCAUGUGUCAGACUGGACACUGUGGACGACUGCUCUGUGGGCUUAGAUCCUGCCUGUGUUCUUACCUAGUGUCAGAAUCCUCGGCUGUGCAGCAGAAGACUGUUUGAUGAAUUCUGAGUGAGAAGUUUACAACAGAGGUGCACAGCUUUGGUCUGCGUACAGAGAGCGUCUGUAUGUGCUGCUGCUGCUCUGAUCGUCCACAUGUCAGCCACAGAGACAAAGUGAAAAAAGUGUGAAAACCUGAAAACUGUAACAGCUGAACUUCCUGCUGAACUCCGCUCCUUUCCCAAUCGAUCAGUAUUAGACAGACACAGUGUGUCAUACACGCCGAGCACAACCCAAACAGACAUGCUUCAUUUUUCUUGCUUAAUAUACAAAACAAAGCCUCCCAGUCUUUGUUUUAUUGCAGCUACAAAGCUUGUCGUUUGUUACUCUGACAUGAAAGUGUUGGCACUACAUGAAUCUGAAGUCGUAACUCUGAUAGACCCUCACCAUCAUGUUGUACUGAAGCACACACAGCACCUCACUCUCUCUCUAAAUCACACGUGCAAAAUAAAAUUAAUCAGCACCA